Molecule: long non-coding RNA, 710 nt
Filed under: Monodelphis domestica (gray short-tailed opossum)
Lineage: Eukaryota; Metazoa; Chordata; Mammalia; Didelphimorphia; Didelphidae
Description: lncRNA (ENSMODG00000047210.1)
Source: RNAcentral
AAUGCAUUUAUGGAACUCUGUAGACCCUUUGAAUAUUCCAAAUGAUAUUUAUAAUAACUAGAAAUACUUAUAUUUAUAUUAUGCCUACUAUAUGAUAAGUACUUUAUAAUUAUUCUGUAUCAGCUUCACUAAAAUCCUUUAAGUUAGUUGUUUUAUUAUUAUUAUUAUUAUUAUUUCUAUUUUACAGAUAAGAAAAAUAGGGGAGAAGUGAUAUACCCAGGGUCACAUAGCCAUUGAUCUUCAUGAGUAUGCUAAAACCAAGAUCAAAGAAGCCCCUAAAUCCAUCCACUACAAAAGAUUUCAGGUGAUUUCUUCUUGGAAGCUUGGAGGGAACUUUCCCCUAACUGCCAGAUGCCCAAUCCUUGGUCAAGGAUUUUUUGAACUAAGUCCAAAGCCUGUGAUUGAUUGAUUCAAUGAAGACAUCUCCUCUUCCAUCAGACUCAGUUCACACUUGUGACUGAUUGAUUGCUCUCACCUAAUGAAGAUUCUUGAAUUUCUGAGCAAGAAGGGAAAUCAGAGCGCAUCUUGUUCCAUUUUACAUAGAAAAGAAUCUUCUUUAAAAUAUAGUAAACAAGUAAGUAUCUACUUCAGCCCUAUGUUUGGGUCUCCUACAUAAGGAGACCUUACUGCCUCCUAACACAGCCUAUUAGAUUCUUGGGGCGACAGUUCUAAUUUUUAGGAAGCUGUUGGUUUUUGCUUCUUAUAUCUAG